This 507-nucleotide ribosomal RNA is filed under the name Triticum aestivum (bread wheat). RNAcentral's name for it is "partial small subunit ribosomal RNA". The record is from RNAcentral. Lineage: Eukaryota; Viridiplantae; Streptophyta; Magnoliopsida; Poales; Poaceae.
AUGGGGAACAGCCUGAGGUGCUGCCUGGCGUGCGUGCUGCCGUGCGGCGCGCUGGACCUGGUCCGGAUCGUGCACCUCAGCGGCCGCGUCGACGAGUACGGCCGCGCCGUGCUCGCCGGGGAGGUCCUGGCGGCGCACCCGAACCACGUGCUCAGCAGGCCCUGCGGGUCCAGGCAGCAGGGCGGGCCGCGGAUCGUCAUCAUCGUGUCGCCCGAGGCCGAGCUGGAACGCGGCGAGAUCUACUUCCUCCUCCCGGCCGCCUCCGUGCCCGCCGACGCCAAGAAGAAGACCAAGACCAAGCGCGAGCCGAGCCCCGGCGCCGCCGCCGUCGAGGAGGGCCGGCGACACCAUCGCCACCACGUCCGGAGCAAGUCGGAAGGCAGCGCGGCCACGGCCGCCGUCGAAGGUCGCCACCUGCAGCAGCAGCAGCACCGGAGGCGCAUGAGCACCGGCAGCCACGCCACGUCGUGGCAUCCGCACCUGGCGCGCAUCGCCGAGGACCCCUGA